RNAcentral lists this ribosomal RNA (425 nucleotides) under uncultured bacterium. RNAcentral describes it as "partial 16S ribosomal RNA". It matches the Rfam family "Bacterial small subunit ribosomal RNA", at positions 354 to 796 of the family's 1533-position model. The record is from RNAcentral.
GUAGGGAAUCUUGCGCAAUGGGCGAAAGCCUGACGCAGCCAUGCCGCGUGAAUGAUGAAGGUCUUAGGAUUGUAAAAUUCUUUCACCGGGGAAGAUAAUGACGGUACCCGGAGAAGAAGCCCCGGCUAACUUCGUGCCAGCAGCCGCGGUAAUACGAAGGGGGCUAGCGUUGCUCGGAAUUACUGGGCGUAAAGGGCGCGUAGGCGGAUAUUUAAGUCAGGGGUGAAAGCCCGGGGCUCAACCUCGGAAUUGCCUUUGAUACUGGAUAUCUUGAGUUCGGGAGAGGUGAGUGGAAUGCCGAGUGUAGAGGUGAAAUUCGUAGAUAUUCGGCGGAACACCAGUGGCGAAGGCGACUCACUGGCCCGAUACUGACGCUGAGGCGCGAAAGCGUGGGGAGCAAACAGGAUUAGAUACCCGAGUAGUCC